Molecule: ribosomal RNA, 2642 nt
Filed under: Raffaelea sp. RL272
Lineage: Eukaryota; Fungi; Ascomycota; Sordariomycetes; Ophiostomatales; Ophiostomataceae
Description: bacterial LSU rRNA
Rfam family: Bacterial large subunit ribosomal RNA (bases 100-2451)
Source: RNAcentral
AUGUAAUCUGAGUGCGAGUCUCGGGGAUCUGAUUAUAAGUAAAAACUUAUAAAUUUUAUAGAAAUAUAAUUGAUACGAAAUAAAAAUUUAUACAUAAUAUGUAAGUAUAUAAAGAGACUAUUAGGAAAUACUAGCUAUAUAUUAAAGAGAUUAACCUUUAUCCCAACAAUUAGGAUAAUAAACUCUAAGAGAAAUCAGAUAAUAAACGAAGCGAAUUGAAUUAUCUUAUUAGCUUCAGGAAAAGAAAUCAAAAGAGAUUCUAUUAUUAGCGUGAGCAAAAAUAGAAAAGUCUAAAUAAUAAGUAAAAUGACUAUAAAGUUGUUUGAAUUUUAUGGGGAACCUUCCUCAAAGACUAAAUAUAAUAUAUAAGCGAUAGUAAAACAGUACCGUGAGGGAACAGUAAGUAGAAUUAGUAGUUUUAUAAGCAGCUCGAGCUAAAGCGAGAGCGUACCUUUUGCAUAAUGGGUCACCAAGUUAAUUUUAAAUGCGAGCUAUUGUAAGUGCGUAGUUAAACCGAUCAUAAAAAUAAUGAAUAGUAUUUAAAAUUAGACCCGAAGUACAGUGAUCUUACCACAGUCAGGAUUAUAAAAGUCCGAACGGGUUAUUGUUGCAAAAAUAUCCGAAGAAUUGUGGUAAGUAUAGUGAAAGACAAUUCGUGACUGUAUUAGCUGGUUUUCUGCGAAACCUAUAACAGUAGGCAGUUUAAAUAACAUCUUAACAGGUACAGAACUUAAUCUCAGACAAGAUGUAUUAAUACAUCCUAUUUUGUAUAGAUCGGGGGAUCGUGAAGAUUUUACCGGUGAGUUUGUGGACUCGAAAUGGUAAAGAUGGAUAUUAAACUAUCAGACAUAGAAUGAUAAGGUUGUAUGUCAAAAGGGAAACAGCCCAGAACAAGAGUUAAGGUUCCAAAAUUAUUAUUAAGUGAAAAUAAGAAGGUUUUUAUAUGAGUCGACAAGGAGAUGGGCUUAGAAGCAGCCAUAAUUUAAAGACCUCGUACCAGAGCACUUGUUAAAUGUUAAAAGCAUCGAAAAUUUAACGGAUCUAAAUAAUAUACCGAAACCUUGUCUAUAAAUAACAAUAAUUAUUGUUAUUUAUGGGGUAGCAGAACGUUGAAUUAAUCUAAGUAUUUGCUUUUAUAAAGUAAAUAAUAUUAUAAUUCAAGUGAGAAUGGUGACAUGAGUAGCGAAAAAGAAAGUUUUUCUAAUUAAUUAGAAAACGCUCGCCUUAAGCUUAUGGUUAUGAUAAGUAACGGCCUCUAAGUUUAUAAUCUGAAGGUUAAAACGAUGAGAAAAUCUUAUUACUAUUAAUGACAACAUUUUUUGGUGGAAAGUGUACUGGAAAUAAUUAGUAAUAUUGUAUUAAAAAUACAAGAACCGUUCCUAGGAACUACAACAAGUAAGCUAGUAGAGAAUACGAAGGCGCAUGAGAUAACAAUCUUAAAGGAACUCGGCAAAUUGACUACCGUAACUUAGGGAUAAGGAGGGCUCAUUAGUCCUGAUUAAUAUCAGGUAAAAAGGAAGAAGCAUAAAAUAAUGUUGUACGACUGUUUAAUUAAAACAAAGCACUUUGCAAAAAGAUGAUAAAUCUAAGUAUUGAGUGUGAUGUCUGCCCGAUCCCGGCUGGUUAACGAAAUCUACUAAAUGUAAUAAAUUUGGUUUUUAAGGAACCCCCGGUUAAUGGCGGCCUUAACGUGAGGGUCCUAAGGUAGCGAAAUGCCUUGGCCGUUAAAUGCGGUCUUGCAUGAAUGAUGUAACGAUACAACAGCUGUCUCUAAGAUUGACUCAGUGAAAUUGGAAUAACUGUGCAGAUACAGUUUACCCCUAGGUAGACGAGAAGACCCUAUGCAGCUUUACUGUUACUAAUUAUUGGAUAUAAUUCAAGCAACUUUUAGUUUAGAAGGUUUAUUGAUUAGAUAAAAGUGAAAGACCUUUAUUUGUUUAUUAUAUUAUAAACCUUUACCUAAUAAAAUCUAAAUUUUAUUAAAAAGGAACAGUUGUUAGGAGACAGUUUAUGUGGGGCACAGACCCCAUAAAGAGUAAAUGGGUGUAUCUAAAAUUAUAACUUAUAUUAAUUAUAUAAGUUUUUUAUUGUUUGAAAUUUUUUUUAACUUUGUUAUAUUUAAUCUUAUAUUUUUGUGUAUAAGUGUAUACAUGUUAUUAGGUAAGAUUUUCCUAUAGAGAAAUUAGUUGUAUAAAAGAUAUAAUAAAAAAUUACUAUAUCUUAUAUUUAUUAUGAUUUUUAAUCAUUAAUAAUAAUGUUAAAUAUUUAUCAAGUUGAAUGGCUUAAUCUUGCUUUACUGUUUGAUUCACAACAAAUCUUACAGUCGCGUAAGCGGGGCAUUAGAUCACAAGAUACAAAAAGGAAAGGUCUUGGAUUAUUGGAAAAGCUACGCUAGGGAUGUUUGUCCUUCAAUAUUUUUUAAUGAUUGAUACAUAUUGGGUUAAUUUCAAGAAUUACUUUAAUUACAAGUAAAUUUGAAGCGAAGUUUAUUUUAAAUAAAAAUAAAAUUGUUCAACGACUAAAGGUGAGUUAAAUAACAAUAAUCCUUUAUAAAUACUCAACAUUUUUUUAUUAGAUGUAUUAGUUUUAAGAAUAUUAAAUUAAAAAUUGCAAAUGAAUACAAAAUCUUUAGAUUUAAAAAA